GUGAACGCUGGCGGUAGGCUUAACACAUGCAAGUCGAACGGCAGCACCGUAAGAGCUUGCUCUUACGGGUGGCGAGUGGCGGACGGGUGAGGAAUACAUCGGAAUCUACUUUUUCGUGGGGGAUAACGUAGGGAAACUUACGCUAAUACCGCAUACGACCUACGGGUGAAAGCAGGGGAUCUUCGGACCUUGCGCGAUUGAAUGAGCCGAUGUCGGAUUAGCUAGUUGGCGGGGUAAAGGCCCACCAAGGCGACGAUCCGUAGCUGGUCUGAGAGGAUGAUCAGCCACACUGGAACUGAGACACGGUCCAGACUCCUACGGGAGGCAGCAGUGGGGAAUAUUGGACAAUGGGCGCAAGCCUGAUCCAGCCAUACCGCGUGGGUGAAGAAGGCCUUCGGGUUGUAAAGCCCUUUUGUUGGGAAAGAAAAGCAGCAGGUUAAUACCCCGCUGUUCUGACGGUACCCAAAGAAUAAGCACCGGCUAACUUCGUG
RNAcentral lists this ribosomal RNA (491 nucleotides) under uncultured bacterium. RNAcentral's name for it is "partial 16S ribosomal RNA". It matches the Rfam family "Bacterial small subunit ribosomal RNA", at positions 29 to 507 of the family's 1533-position model. The record is from RNAcentral.